Non-coding RNA from Parasteatoda tepidariorum (common house spider), 466 nucleotides. Lineage: Eukaryota; Metazoa; Arthropoda; Arachnida; Araneae; Theridiidae. The record is from RefSeq and is a predicted model, not a curated record.
GGCUACCAGCUGUGACCUAAGAAGCAAAGCGACAGUGAGGCUACGAUGUUCUUGAUUCUCUACAAUAAGAAAGCGAAAAAAUUUUGAACCGAAAAUUUUUUUUUUUGACUAAAACAUCCAUUUUGAGCUUAUGCAUUUCAACAAUUACGCAGAGACAGUGAGAAUACUUCCUCAAAAUGAAAAAGAAUUUUACCAAAGAGUCGAAAGUGUAGAAGAAAUAGGCCACUGGAAACGGUUAAAUACAAAUUUCUGAAAACAAUAACAUUUGACAUAGUUUGUGAUAUAUAUUUUUUAUUCAACUUUGUAACUUACAUUCGUUGAAGAGUUGUUUUUAUCUCAGUUUCCAGUUUAAGGCAUUUGUAAAAUGGGAAGAAGUAGAUCUCGGUCGCCUCCUGGCAGAAGAGAGAGACAUAGAAGCAGAUCACGAGAAAGGGAACGUGAUCAUGAUAGGAGAGUUAGAGGUAAG